Bactrocera tryoni is the source of this 707-nucleotide long non-coding RNA. RefSeq lists it as uncharacterized. Lineage: Eukaryota; Metazoa; Arthropoda; Insecta; Diptera; Tephritidae. The record is from RefSeq and is a predicted model, not a curated record. The transcript is spliced from 4 exons.
AAUUUUAACAUUUCAUAUCGCCUAUCUCAUCGUGAAUGUUAAACAGUAAAAAAAGAAGAGUGUGAAACAUUAAACAAAAAAGAGUCUUCUUUAAACAAGAGUAAUUGGUGGUCCUUUUUAUUAUCUAGAAUGGAAGACGAUUUCAUCCCUACUAAAGCCAAGUUAGCAAUUGUACUAAAAUACCUAGCUUCUGGAGAUUUACAACGCCAUAUUGCCUCAUGUCGGCAUAUUCUGUCCGAUGUGUGAAGGGAAUUGAAAAUGAAAUUCCAGAGUGUACAGAACACACCUUGUUGGAGAUAUCUCAUUGCUUUCGAACACAAUGGAAUUUUCAAAACAAGGUCGGGGCUAUCAAUGGCAAACACAUAGCUAUCAAAGCCCGACCAAAACAUUUUAUAAUUAUAAAGGAUUCCAUUCUAUUGUGUUGAUGGCCACAUGUGAUGCCAAUUAUAAAUUCACAUACUUGGAUGUUGGUGCUUACGGAAGUGAAGGACACUCCAAUAUUAUGAAGAAUUCGAUAUUCGGUAUCAGCAUACCUAAUGACAGCAGCCAAUUUACGGCCGACGGCUUUAUCGUUGGCAAAGAAGGAAGAAAUUUUCAAUUAUCGUUUAAGUAGAGCAAGACUAUGUAUUGAAAACGCGUUUGGAAUUUUGAGUACAAAUUGGCUUUGCCUCAGAAAGGUAUUAUUUUGUCAUCCGGAUCAGGCACGA